GAACGCUGGCGGCGUGCUUAACACAUGCAAGUCGAGCGGAAAGGCCCUUCGGGGUACUCGAGCGGCGAACGGGUGAGUAACACGUGAGUAACCUGCCCCUGACUCUGGGAUAAGCCUGGGAAACCGGGUCUAAUACCGGAUACGACCAUUUCUCGCAUGAGAUGGUGGUGGAAAGUUUUUUCGGUUGGGGAUGGGCUCGCGGCCUAUCAGCUUGUUGGUGGGGUGAUGGCCUACCAAGGCGACGACGGGUAGCCGGCCUGAGAGGGCGACCGGCCACACUGGGACUGAGACACGGCCCAGACUCCUACGGGAGGCAGCAGUGGGGAAUAUUGCGCAAUGGGCGGAAGCCUGACGCAGCGACGCCGCGUGGGGGAUGACGGCCUUCGGGUUGUAAACCUCUUUCAGCAGGGACGAAGUUGACGUGUACCUGUAGAAGAAGCGCCGGCUAACUACGUGCCAGCAGCCGCGGUAAUACGUAGGGCGCGAGCGUUGUCCGGAAUUAUUGGGCGUAAAGAGCUCGUAGGUGGCUU
RNAcentral lists this ribosomal RNA (530 nucleotides) under Microbispora bryophytorum. RNAcentral's name for it is "bacterial SSU rRNA". It matches the Rfam family "Bacterial small subunit ribosomal RNA", at positions 31 to 581 of the family's 1533-position model. The record is from RNAcentral. Lineage: Bacteria; Bacillati; Actinomycetota; Actinomycetes; Streptosporangiales; Streptosporangiaceae.